GACGAACGCUGGCGGCGUGCCUAAUACAUGCAAGUCGAGCGGAAUGAUGAAGAAGCUUGCUUCUUCUGAUUUUAGCGGCGGACGGGUGAGUAACACGUGGGCAACCUACCUUGUAGAUUGGGAUAACUCCGGGAAACCGGGGCUAAUACCGAAUAAUCCAUUUUGCUUCAUGGCGAGAUGUUGAAAGACGGUUUCGGCUGUCACUACGAGAUGGGCCCGCGGCGCAUUAGCUAGUUGGUAGGGUAAUGGCCUACCAAGGCGACGAUGCGUAGCCGACCUGAGAGGGUGAUCGGCCACACUGGGACUGAGACACGGCCCAGACUCCUACGGGAGGCAGCAGUAGGGAAUCUUCCACAAUGGACGAAAGUCUGAUGGAGCAACGCCGCGUGAGUGAAGAAGGUUUUCGGAUCGUAAAACUCUGUUGUAAGGGAAGAACACGUACGAGAGUAACUGCUCGUACCUUGACGGUACCUUAUUAGAAAGCCACGGCUAACUACGUG
RNAcentral lists this ribosomal RNA (500 nucleotides) under uncultured bacterium. RNAcentral's name for it is "bacterial SSU rRNA". It matches the Rfam family "Bacterial small subunit ribosomal RNA", at positions 28 to 507 of the family's 1533-position model. The record is from RNAcentral.